RNAcentral lists this ribosomal RNA (250 nucleotides) under uncultured bacterium. RNAcentral's name for it is "partial 16S ribosomal RNA". It matches the Rfam family "Bacterial small subunit ribosomal RNA", at positions 355 to 602 of the family's 1533-position model. The record is from RNAcentral.
UAAGGAAUAUUGGACAAUGGGCGCAAGCCUGAUCCAGCCAUGCCGCGUGAAGGAUGAAGGCGCUCAGCGUUGUAAACUUCUUUUGGACGGGAACAAUAACUCCGACUUGUCGGAGCUUGAGGGUACCGUCAGAAUAAGCACCGGCUAACUCCGUGCCAGCAGCCGCGGUAAUACGGAGGGUGCAAGCGUUAUCCGGAAUCACUGGGUUUAAAGGGUGCGUAGGCGGUCUUGUAAGUCAGUCGUGAAAUCG